CCUACGGGUGGCAGCAGUGGGGAAUAUUGGACAAUGGGCGAAAGCCUGAUCCAGCCAUGCCGCGUGUGUGAAGAAGGCCUUCGGGUUGUAAAGCACUUUCAGUGGGGAAGAAAGCCUUGGGGCUAAUACCCUCGAGGAAGGACAUCACCCACAGAAGAAGCACCGGCUAACUCCGUGCCAGCAGCCGCGGUAAUACGGAGGGUGCGACCGUUAAUCGGAAUUACUGGGCGUAAAGCGCGCGUAGGCGGUCUGAUAAGCCGGUUGUGAAAGCCCCGGGCUCAACCUGGGAACGGCAUCCGGAACUGUCAGGCUAGAGUGCAGGAGAGGAAGGUAGAAUUCCCGGUGUAGCGGUGAAAUGCGUAGAGAUCGGGAGGAAUACCAGUGGCGAAGGCGGCCUUCUGGACUGACACUGACGCUGAGGUGCGAAAGCGUGGGUAGCAAACAGGAUUAGAUACCCCGGUAGUC
This 465-nucleotide ribosomal RNA is filed under the name Vreelandella stevensii. Its description in RNAcentral is "partial 16S ribosomal RNA". It matches the Rfam family "Bacterial small subunit ribosomal RNA", at positions 338 to 795 of the family's 1533-position model. Lineage: Bacteria; Pseudomonadati; Pseudomonadota; Gammaproteobacteria; Oceanospirillales; Halomonadaceae. The record is from RNAcentral.